CCCAUUUGCCUCAGGAAGCUGAGCUCGUCUGGAUUCCCACCAUGGCCUGGGCCCCUCUGCUCCUCACGCUGCUCACUUACUGCUCAGGGUCCCUCUCCCAGUACACUCUGACUCAGCCACCCGCAGUAUCCGUGUCCAUUGGAAACACAGUUAAACUCUCCUGCGCCCUUAGCAGUGGAUACACAUUUAAGGGUGUCGUCUGGUACCAGCAAAAAACUGGGAACAUCCCAAGAUACCUUCUGAGGUACAACACUGAAUCUAACAAGCACCAGGGCUCAGGGGUCCCCAAUCGCUUUGCUGGAUCUAAAGACGCCUCUAAUACAAUCGGCUACUUAACCAUCACCAGCGUCCAGGCAGAAGACGAGGCUGAUUAUUACUGUGCUGCAGGGACUGCACAGUGA
Molecule: non-coding RNA, 401 nt
Organism: Chelonoidis abingdonii (Abingdon island giant tortoise)
Lineage: Eukaryota; Metazoa; Chordata; Testudines; Testudinidae
Source: the annotation of a RefSeq genome assembly